This 253-nucleotide ribosomal RNA is filed under the name uncultured bacterium. RNAcentral's name for it is "partial 16S ribosomal RNA". It matches the Rfam family "Bacterial small subunit ribosomal RNA", at positions 524 to 776 of the family's 1533-position model. The record is from RNAcentral.
UACGACCCGUCCAAACGUUAUUCGGAUUCAUUGGGCUUAAAGGGUACGUCGGCGGCGCCAUUCGUCGGGUGUGAAAGCCCUCGGCUCAACCGAGGAACUGCGCCCGAUACUGUGGUGCUUGAGGGAGACAGAGGUAAGCGGAACUGAUGGUGGAGCGGUGAAAUGCGUUGAUAUCAUCAGGAACACCGGUGGCGAAGGCGGCUUACUGGGUCUCUUCUGACGCUGAGGUACGAAAGCUAGGGGAGCGAACGGG